This is a long non-coding RNA of Oncorhynchus keta (chum salmon), 1263 nucleotides long. RefSeq lists it as uncharacterized. The transcript has 5 exons. The record is from RefSeq and is a predicted model, not a curated record. NCBI's taxonomy places the organism in Eukaryota, Metazoa, Chordata, Actinopteri, Salmoniformes, Salmonidae.
ACUGUGUACUCUCUGUUUAGGGUCAGUCACAGUGGUCAGGUAUUCUGCCACUGUGUACUCUCUGUUUAGGGUCAGUCACAGUGGUCAGGUAUUCUGCCACUGUGUACUCUAUGUUUAGGGUCAGUCACAGUGGUCAGGUAUUCUGCCACUGUGUACUCUCUGUUUAGGGUCAGUCACAGUGGUCAGGUAUUCUGCCACUGUGUACUCUCUGUUUAGGGUCAGUCACAGUGGUCAGGUAUUCUGCCACUGUGUACUCUAUGUUUAGGGUCAGUCACAGUGGUCAGGUAUUCUGCCACUGUGUACUCUAUGUUUAGGGUCAGUCACAGUGGUCAGGUAUUCUGCCACUGUGUACUCUAUGUUUAGGGUCAGUCACAGUGGUCAGGUAUUCUGCCACUGUGUACUCUCUGUUUAGGGUCAGUCACAGUGGUCAGGUAUUCUGCCACUGUGUACUCUCUGUUUAGGGUCAGUCACAGUGGUCAGGUAUUCUGCCACUGUGUACUCUCUGUUUAGGGUCAGUCACAGUGGUCAGGUAUUCUGCCACUGUGUACUCUAUGUUUAGGGUCAGUCACAGUGGUCAGGUAUUCUGCCACUGUGUACUCUCUGUUUAGGGUCAGUCACAGUGGUCAGGUAUUCUGCCACUGUGUACUCUAUGUUUAGGGUCAGUCACAGUGGUCAGGUAUUCUGCCACUGUGUACUCUCUGUUUAGGGUCAGUCACAGUGGUCAGGUAUUCUGCCACUGUGUACUCUAUGUUUAGGGUCAGUCACAGUGGUCAGGUAUUCUGCCACUGUGUACUCUAUGUUUAGGGUCAGUCACAGUGGUCAGGUAUUCUGCCACUGUGUACUCUCUGUUUAGGGUCAGUCACAGUGGUCAGGUAUUCUGCCACUGUGUACUCUCUGUUUAGGGUCAGUCACAGUGGUCAGGUAUUCUGCCACUGUGUACUCUAUGUUUAGGGUCAGUCACAGUGGUCAGGUAUUCUGCCACUGUGUACUCUCUGUUUAGGGUCAGUCACAGUGGUCAGGUAUUCUGCCACUGUGUACUCUCUGUUUAGGGUCAGUCACAGUGGUCAGGUAUUCUGCCACUGUGUACUCUCUGUUUAGGGUCAGUCACAGUGGUCAGGUAUUCUGCCACUGUGUACUCUCUGUUUAGGGUCAGUCACAGUGGUCAGGUAUUCUGCCACUGUGUACUCUCUGUUUAGGGUCAGUCACAGUGGUCAGGUAUUCUGCCACUGUGUACUCUCUGUUUAGGGUCAGUCACAGUGGUCA